RNAcentral lists this long non-coding RNA (390 nucleotides) under Salvia miltiorrhiza (redroot sage). RNAcentral's name for it is "long non-coding RNA (SMIL_LNC008069)". The record is from RNAcentral. Lineage: Eukaryota; Viridiplantae; Streptophyta; Magnoliopsida; Lamiales; Lamiaceae.
UCCGGUCCAUCAAAGCGUCGUUUGAGCAGCCGAUUUCCUUGACGCGCUAGUCGUCGGAGCAUUGUUUGAGGAAAUCGGAGGAAGAAGGUGCGGCGGGAAGAAGGUGCAGACGGGAAGAGAUGGAAAUUGGAGGAAGAAGGUGCGGCGGGAAGAAGGUGCAGACAGGAAGAGAUGGAAAUCGGAGGAAGAAGAUGGGGAUUUUUCCUUUUUUUUAAUUUAUACUCAUUCAAAAUGACGUCGUUUUGAACUCCGGUGCGUCCACGUCUGAAAACUCCGGUGCCACGUCAACACCGAUCAAGGUGAUGGUCAACGCGUGUGCAAUUUGCAACAAAAUUAAAAGGUUAUGUAUUCUGAGGCUAUUUUUAAAGGUCAUGUGCAAUUUGCAAAUUU